Molecule: ribosomal RNA, 683 nt
Filed under: uncultured fungus
Lineage: Eukaryota; Fungi
Description: eukaryotic LSU rRNA
Rfam family: 5.8S ribosomal RNA (bases 297-450)
Source: RNAcentral
AUUGGAAGUAAAAGUCGUAACAAGGUUUCCGUAGGUGAACCUGCGGAAGGAUCAUUAUUGAAUGAACUUGACUUGGUUGCUGCUGGUCUUUUCAAAGGCAUGUGCACACCUUGUCAUCUUUAUAUCUCCACCUGUGCACCUUUUGUAGACCUGGAUUCAACAUUCCGAGGCAACUCGGUCGUGAGGAAUUGCUUCACAGCUUUCCUUGUAAGUUUCCAGGCCUAUGUUUUUCAUAUACACCAUAAGAAUGUAACAGAAUGUCAUUAUUAGACUUCAUUGUCUUAUAAACUAUAUACAACUUUCAGCAACGGAUCUCUUGGCUCUCGCAUCGAUGAAGAACGCAGCGAAAUGCGAUAAGUAAUGUGAAUUGCAGAAUUCAGUGAAUCAUCGAAUCUUUGAACGCACCUUGCGCUCCUUGGUAUUCCGAGGAGCAUGCCUGUUUGAGUGUCAUUAAAUUCUCAACCUUAGUCAACUUUUUUGGUUGACCAAUGGCUUGGAUGUGGGGGUUUUGCAGGUUUCUCUUUUGAAAUCAGCUCCCCUGAAAUGUAUUAGCUGGUUGCGUUGUGUAGACCUGUCUAUUGGUGUGAUAAUUAUCUACGCCGUGGACUGUUUGCCAUUUUAGCACUGCUUCUAACUGUCUGUUCAUUCAGACGAUGUAUGACAAUUGACCUCAAAUCAGGUAG